AACGCGAAGAACCUUACCUGGGCUCGAACGGCUUUGGAUCGACGGUGGAAACACUGUUUUCCCGCAAGGGACCGGAGUCGAGGUGCUGCAUGGCUGUCGUCAGCUCGUGUCGUGAGAUGUUGGGUUAAGUCCCGCAACGAGCGCAACCCUUGUCCUGUGUUGCCACUCCGUAAGGAAGCACUCUCAGGAGACCGCCAGCGAUAAGUUGGAGGAAGGUGGGGAUGAUGUCAAGUCAUCAUGGCCUUUAUGUCCAGGGCUACACACGUGCUACAAUGGUCGGUACAAAGCGCUGCUAACCCGCGAGGGGGAGCCAAUCGCAAAAAGCCGGCCUCAGUUCGGAUUGCAGGCUGCAACUCGCCUGCAUGAAGCUGGAAUCGCUAGUAAUGCCGUAUCAGAAUGAUGGCGUGAAUACGUUCCCGGGCCUUGUA
Molecule: ribosomal RNA, 428 nt
Filed under: uncultured Acidobacterium sp.
Lineage: Bacteria; Pseudomonadati; Acidobacteriota; Terriglobia; Terriglobales; Acidobacteriaceae
Description: bacterial SSU rRNA
Rfam family: Bacterial small subunit ribosomal RNA
Source: RNAcentral